CAGUCGCCGCGGGAAUACGUAGGGUGCAAGCGUUAAUCGGAAUUACUGGGCGUAAAGCGUGCGCAGGCGGUUCUAUAAGACAGAUGUGAAAUCCCCGGGCUCAACCUGGGAACUGCAUUUGUGACUGUAGAGCUGGAGUGCGGCAGAGGGGGAUGGAAUUCCGCGUGUAGCAGUGAAAUGCGUAGAUAUGCGGAGGAACACCGAUGGCGAAGGCAAUCCCCUGGGCCUGCACUGACGCUCAUGCACGAAAGCGUGGGGAGCAAACAGGAUUAGAUACCCCUGUAGUCCCUGUCUCUUAUAC
This 301-nucleotide ribosomal RNA is filed under the name uncultured bacterium. RNAcentral describes it as "partial 16S ribosomal RNA". It matches the Rfam family "Bacterial small subunit ribosomal RNA", at positions 509 to 807 of the family's 1533-position model. The record is from RNAcentral.